UACGAAGGGUGCAAGCGUUAAUCGGAAUUACUGGGCGUAAAGCGUGCGUAGGCGGUUUCUUAAGUCUGCUGUGAAAGCCCCGGGCUCAACCUGGGAAUGGCGGUGGAUACUGAGAAGCUGGAGUACGGUAGAGGAAGGUGGAAUUCCCGGUGUAGCGGUGAAAUGUGUAGAGAUCGGGAGGAACAUCAGUGGCGAAGGCGGCCUUCUGGACCAGUACUGACGCUGAGGCACGAAAGCGUGGGGAGCAAACAGG
This 253-nucleotide ribosomal RNA is filed under the name uncultured bacterium. RNAcentral describes it as "partial 16S ribosomal RNA". It matches the Rfam family "Bacterial small subunit ribosomal RNA", at positions 524 to 776 of the family's 1533-position model. The record is from RNAcentral.